RNAcentral lists this ribosomal RNA (374 nucleotides) under Klebsiella pneumoniae. RNAcentral describes it as "bacterial SSU rRNA". It matches the Rfam family "Bacterial small subunit ribosomal RNA", at positions 1 to 384 of the family's 1533-position model. Lineage: Bacteria; Pseudomonadati; Pseudomonadota; Gammaproteobacteria; Enterobacterales; Enterobacteriaceae. The record is from RNAcentral.
GAACUGUAGAGUUUGAUCCUGGCUCAGAUUGAACGCUGGCGGCAUGCCUUACACAUGCAAGUCGAACGGUAACAGGUUAAGCUGACGAGUGGCGAACGGGUGAGUAAUGUAUCGGAACGUGCCCAGUCGUGGGGGAUAACUGCUCGAAAGAGCAGCUAAUACCGCAUACGACCUGAGGGUGAAAGCGGGGGAUCGCAAGACCUCGCGCGAUUGGAGCGGCCGAUAUCAGAUUAGGUAGUUGGUGAGGUAAAGGCUCACCAAGCCGACGAUCUGUAGCUGGUCUGAGAGGACGACCAGCCACACUGGGACUGAGACACGGCCCAGACUCCUACGGGAGGCAGCAGUGGGGAAUUUUGGACAAUGGGCGCAAGCCU